RNAcentral lists this ribosomal RNA (1000 nucleotides) under uncultured bacterium. RNAcentral's name for it is "bacterial SSU rRNA". It matches the Rfam family "Bacterial small subunit ribosomal RNA", at positions 69 to 1096 of the family's 1533-position model. The record is from RNAcentral.
AUCCUAGGAACUUCCUUUCAGUUAAGAGUUAGUGGCGGACGGGUGAGUAACACGUUAGUACCUGCCCUCUAGUGGGGAAUAACUGCCCGAAAGGGUAGCUAAUACCGCAUGUGGUCCUUCGGGAUUAAAGCAGUAAUGCGCUAGAGGAGGGGCUUGCGUCUGAUUAGCUUGUUGGUAGGGUAAUGGCCUACCAAGGCGACGAUCAGUAGCUGGUUCGAGAGGAUGACCAGCCACACUGGGACUGAGAUACGGCCCAGACUCCUACGGGAGGCAGCAGUAAGGAAUCUUCCACAAUGGACGAAAGUCUGAUGGAGCAACGCCGCGUGCAGGAUGACGGCCUUCGGGUUGUAAACUGCUUUUAUAUGGGAAGAUUAUGACGGUACCAUAUGAAUAAGGACCGGCUAACUACGUGCCAGCAGCCGCGGUAAUACGUAGGGUCCAAGCGUUAUCCGGAAUCACUGGGCGUAAAGCGUACGUAGGCGGGUACUUAAGUGAGAUGCGAAAUCUUGUGGCUCAACCAUAUAGACUGUAUCUCAUACUGGGUGCCUUGAGGAUGGCAGAGGCUAGUGGAAUUACCGGUGUAGCAGUGAAAUGCGUAGAGAUCGGUAGGAACACCAAUGGCGAAGGCAGCUAGCUGGGCCAUUUCUGACGCUAAGGUACGAAAGCGUGGGGAGCGAACAGGAUUAGAUACCCUGGUAGUCCACGCCGUAAACGAUGCAUAUUAUUAGUAUGGAGUAUCGACCCUCUGUGCUGAGAAGCUAACGCGUUAAAUAUGCCGCCUGGGGAGUACGAUCGCAAGAUUAAAACUCAAAGGAAUUGACGGGGACCCGCACAAGCAGUGGAUCAUGUGGUUUAAUUCGAUGCUACGCGAAGAACCUUACCGAGGCUUGACAUCCUGAGAAGUCUCCAGAACGGAGAUGUGCUUCGGGAACUCAGUGACAGGUGCUGCAUGGCGUCGUCAGCUCGUGUCGUGAGAUGUUGGGUUAAGUCCGGCAACGAG